This 468-nucleotide ribosomal RNA is filed under the name uncultured bacterium. RNAcentral describes it as "partial 16S ribosomal RNA". It matches the Rfam family "Bacterial small subunit ribosomal RNA", at positions 28 to 507 of the family's 1533-position model. The record is from RNAcentral.
GACGAACGCUGGCGGCGUGCUUAACACAUGCAAGUCGAACGGAAAGGCCCUGCUUUUGUUGCGUUCUCGAUUGGCGAACGGGUGAGUAACACGUGAGUAACCUGCCCUUGACUUUCGGAUAACUUCUGGAAACUGGGGCUCAUACCGGAUAUGAUCUCCUGCUGCAUGUUGUUGGUUGGUAAGUUUCGGCGGUUCUGUAUGGUCUCGCUGCUUAUCCGCUUCUUGGUGAGGUAGUGGCUUACCAAGGGUUUGACGGCUAGCCGGCCUGAGAGGGUUGCCGGCGACAUUGGGACUGAGAGACGGAGCAGAAGGGUACGGGAGGCAGCAGGGGAGAAUAUUGCGGAAUAGGCGGGAGCGUGAUGCAGAAACGCCGGGUGCGGAAUGACGGGCUUCGGGUUGUAAACCGCUUUGGAAGGUGACAAAGAGUGAGUGACGGUAAUGGGUAAAGAAGCAACGGCUAACUACGUG